GACACGCAGACACUUAUCCCUUCACUCUCUCCCCACUAGUCCCCAUUCCAUGGUGGCCGCACCGUCGCACGACGCCGCCUCUCUGCUGCCACCAUGUCGCCCGACGCCUCCUCCUCCUCCCCUCUGCCUCGCCCCGCCGCCUCCUCGCCGCACGACGGCCUCGCCUCGCCAGCAACCCCGCCGGUCUUGCCUAGAUAAACUCUGCCGCUGCCAUCCCCAUGUCCCAGCGUAGAUCUAGACGGGAGCUAGAGGGGCAUGCUGGAGACGAUGUGGGAGCGGGAAUAUCAUAGCGGACCGAGAUCCAGUGCGUCUACGUGCCCGCCGUCAUUGUUGGCCCCCGUGCUUGGCUCCCACACUCGCUCCGAGUAGGCGCUCGCAGCUCGCCUACUGCUCGGCUGCUCCAGGUACUUGACGGACUCAGUUAAAGCACAACGUCAGGCUGCAGCAGAAGCUUGAGGAAUGCAGGGGCUAAUGAUAGUACUCAUCAACCAAAAUUACCGGCGUUGCCAACCAUGCUUUGAACUUUUGGAGAUCAAGCUGUACGGUUGUACAAUGAAGAUUUUUGGUAACUACCUCAACUCUCAUGAGAUGAUUAUCUUAGAAAAUCGAGAUAUUUUCUCAUGAAUUUCAGCUCUCCUGAUGAGGCACAUAGUUUUGUACUUGGGGUGCUCAGAAAGAAUAGGAUGUUUUCUUUUUUAUACAUCUCGUGGCUUAUCCUUGUGUCAGAACAAAAAGGAAAAAAGAAUACUUGGUCUUUACAUGAAAAGGACGCUCCUGUGGUUAUUGUGAUAUCAAAUUUUGCAUAAUUUCUUCUAAUGUUUUAUUUACUCUUUUACUGGCUUCCCUGUCUUUAUUUGUGGUGCUUAGUUGUUCAACCUGGCAUGCUCUGUUACCCAAGAUGCAGUUUAAGGAUUCAAGUAGCGAUUGCAACCCAAAACAUUGCAAAGAAUCUGCUACCAGAGGCUUCAUUAUGCACAUCUUUUAUUUUUACAAAAUGGAGUCUGAUCUGCUGUCAUCACAUCAACAGGUAUGCCUACAUCACCAAUGUUUGUACAUCGACAUUUAUUCACACACAAAUGAAUAUAUUCUAAGGUUAGAACGAACAUCACCUUCAACACCUGGUGUGUAUCGUAGUUGGGUGACAGCAGAUUGCGCAGUGGCCUCUCGGCGGUGUGAAAAUCUGGCAGAAGAAAUCACCUGAUCAUAUAUUUAAUUAUACUUCUGAUUGCUCGAUCAUAUGUAAAGAACAGAAUAUAAUGGACAAACCAGGUGAUAUUGCCGCGGGUGUCCUAGAUGGGAUGUGUUCUGCAUUAAGAAUAGUAGAUGUAGCUUUCUUAUGAGCCCUGUUUAGUGUAUACCUCUCCCUUUCCCUUUGUCUCUUCAACUCUUUAGGACCUGCCAUUUGGCCUGCGUGCACGAAAUCUUUACCUAGGCUCGAGUUGGUGAUAUAUUUAAGUUACUUACCUGAGUUGGUGAUGUUGAAUAGGUCCUCAAAUGGGGUCCCUAAGUCGUCACGCUGAUCGUAAUUAUUUACAUUUUCCUUGUUACAAAAUGUCCGGUUUGCAUUGAAGGAAUUUGGAUCAUGUAUGGAGCCUGAUCAGACGUCAUCACAUCAGCAUUUAUGCCUAUACCACCAAUGUCAGUAUAGUAACAUUUUUUUACACACAAAUGGAGUUCCAAAUUCGUUAGGCUGAGAGGAUGCUAUAUGCAACUGUCUCAAUCAGGAUCUUAGUGUUCCCAAUCAUGGUUGUUGUACAUGAAAGAUUUACUUGAGCCAUAAACAGGAUGGUGGCAGGAGAAAAUAUGUACAAUGAUUUGGUGUUUCCAAUGCUUUGAGCUGAAAAACAGUUCAGAUACCUGAAUUGCUGAUGUUGGUUAGGUCCUGAAAUGGAGUCCUUAAGUCGUUACGCCGAGAGGAUGCCAUAUGCAGCUGUCACAAUCAGGAUCUUACUAUUCCCAAUCACGGUUGUUGUACUUGAAAGAUUUAGUUAUGAGCCAUAAACAGGAUGGUUGUAGGAGAAAAAUAAGUACAAUAUUUGAUGCUUCCAAUGCUUUGAGCUGAAAAACAGUUCAGAUUAUAUGCUUCCAGCCGUGAAACUGCUUAUCGCAUUAGUCUUUUUCAUUGUAUUUUAGUGCUUCCGGUGAUUCCUUCUCUGUCAUCAUUGUGCUUUCCAGGUUUGAUUCUUCUGUGACACAUUAAGUGGCCUCACAGGUUGGUUGCACGUUCCCCUCUGUUAUGUAAGUAGCAACCCAUAGUGCCACUUUUUUCCUUGGUGCUAAUAGAAAAAAUUCUCAAACAUAGUACACAAGAAGUAUUCAAUGGCAGGAACACCGGUACGAUAUUGUGCAUAUAUAAUCAUUAACAUACUACAAUAUUUGUUUCCUCAGGUUCUGGUCCCAGUUCAAUCACCGCUCCACACAGUAGGGUUAGCCGAAGAGUCUCUCAGGACUGUUCAAAAACACCAUGAGAAAACUCUGUUAGAGCCAGCACACCUGUAGACUGUGAAUCCAAGUAGCAGAACAUGACAAUUUUUUGUGAAAUCGGUCACUCCAUCUAACCACACUGAUUAAUGUGUUUAUCCAAGAAUAGUAUUCAGUAGAAUAGAAGUAGAGUAGACAGGCAUGGUAAAUCUCAGACAGAUAUAGGAGAGAAAUUCUGCAGUGAGGGAGCAAAGCGAAGCUGGGACUGAACCUGGAGACAAUAUCCGAUGACGCCGAUAUGCUCAACACCCUUGAACAGGACCAGCGGGAACACGUUCCGCCCUUGCGCCACCAGGUCUUGCCGUCCUGUUGCUGGUUGGCGAGCCGGUACUUCCCGUCGGCCUUGUUGGUAUCGGAAACGCCGGAGAAGAGCUAAGCCGUAGGCACGAAGUCUUUCCCGUUGACCAUGUAUCCGUCGGGGACUCGAACGUCCACCAUACGACUGUGUCGUCAGCACGGAACAACACAAAGUUGUCGUCAUCGCGCAGGGCACCCGCGACUCAGGCAGAUCUAAUUGAGCGACCAGGUGGGUUUCCAUUGGCCGUGGAAAUCAUACCUAGCCGAUCUGAUGGGCUGUCUGCUGCUUCAAAACUCAGGCAAAUUGCUGCAUAAUAAUCUUGUUGUAGCCUGACAAAUCUGUGAAUAUUUGAUUGUAGGUGAAAGGAGGAGCGGCCACCCACUCGACGGUGCGGUGCAGGGUGGCAAGGGAGCCGGCAGGGAGGUGUCAACGCGGUCCAUGGCCGCGAGGGAACCGUCCAGGAAGGCGACGAUGCGAUGCAGGGAUCGAGGCCGCCGUGCCGGGAGCCGACGGGGCUGCUGAGCUUCCUUUGGGGCGGUGGCGAGGAAAGGCAGGAGAGGGGCGAGGGAGACGAUUAGGUUUAGAUUGCUUUUUUUCAAAUUUAUUAGAUGGUUAGAUUAGCGUGAUUUGAGGGGCUGCGGAGGUGGGAUGGAGAGUUUCAUAUUUUCAUCUGGUGGAGUACGGUCAGUCCAUGUAAACUGCUAAGCGCACACCAGAUCUCGAAUAAAUUAAUGAUGGCUGUUA
This is a long non-coding RNA of Triticum aestivum (bread wheat), 3523 nucleotides long. RefSeq lists it as uncharacterized. NCBI's taxonomy places the organism in Eukaryota, Viridiplantae, Streptophyta, Magnoliopsida, Poales, Poaceae. The transcript has 2 exons. The record is from RefSeq and is a predicted model, not a curated record.